Molecule: non-coding RNA, 548 nt
Filed under: Pongo abelii (Sumatran orangutan)
Lineage: Eukaryota; Metazoa; Chordata; Mammalia; Primates; Hominidae
Source: RNAcentral
GUGCACUUGACCGCUCCUCCCUCCGCGUUGGAGGCGGAAUAGUGGGUUUUGCUGCAACCGGUUUUCUUUCUGUUUUCACCCAUUCUGGCACAAUCCGGCGCCAUCGUCCUUCUUGUGAGGCCAAGCCUGAAAAUGCGAAGCAGAGAGGCAGAACCAAAAUUGAGGCGAAUCCGGGAACCUGCCAAUGGGUCUCCGGGUGCGGUCUCUGAAACUGGAGGAUAUCAGGAGGAAAGGCUCUCCGAUGCGGAGAGAAUGGGGAAGCUCUUGGCAUGGUUGGCUGUAGGUGUGUGAUACCGGAGGAGCAGGAGUCAAAUAGGAUACGCCGACUUUUAAUUCAAGGAACCCUUUUCUGAAACACUUUGCCACAAUGAAGGAAAUAAGAUUACAGCCGAAAAGAUACAUAUUAAGGAAUUGUACUCUCAGAAAUGUUGAGAAAAGAUACAUGGGUCUUGGAAGAUAAUUACUCAAAAUAUGCAGGGAAGGUAGUAUAUCUUUCUAUUUUAAAUGUAUUAAGUAUUCCUGGAACUAUAGCAGUGAGUUGGAAAUGG